Molecule: small RNA, 68 nt
Filed under: Salibacterium halotolerans
Lineage: Bacteria; Bacillati; Bacillota; Bacilli; Caryophanales; Bacillaceae
Description: Bacillaceae-1 RNA
Rfam family: Bacillaceae-1 RNA
Source: RNAcentral
UUUGAAGGUUCAUCGGCUAAAAGCGGUCACGUCCUGUGGCGGGCGCCGAUGCUAGAACCUCCUGUUCG